AUUCCUACGGGAGGCAGCAGUGAGGAAUAUUGGUCAAUGGGCGCAAGCCUGAACCAGCCGUGCCGCGUGCAGGAAGACGGCCCUAUGGGUUGUAAACUGCUUUUGCACGGGAAGAAUGGCCCCCUCGUGAGGGGGUUUGACGGUACCGUACGAAUAAGGAUCGGCUAACUCCGUGCCAGCAGCCGCGGUAAUACGGAGGAUUCAAGCGUUAUCCGGAUUUACUGGGUUUAAAGGGUGCGUAGGCGGGCGCUUAAGUCAGCGGUGAAAGGCAGCGGCUCAACCGUUGAAUUGCCGUUGAAACUGGGCGCCUUGGAUUCGGUCGAGGCCGGCGGAAUGCGUGGUGUAGCGGUGAAAUGCUUAGAUAUCACGCGGAACGCCGAUUGCGAAGGCAGCUGGCCAGACCGAGAUCGACGCUGAGGCACGAAAGCGUGGGGAUCAAACAGGAUUAGAUACCCUGGUAGUCCACGCCGUAAACGAUGAUCACUGGAUGCCGGCGAUACACCGUCGGUGUCUGAGCGAAAGCAUUAAGUGAUCCACCUGGGGAGUACGAUCGCAAGGUUGAAACUCAAAUGAAUUGACGGAAU
RNAcentral lists this ribosomal RNA (584 nucleotides) under uncultured bacterium. RNAcentral describes it as "bacterial SSU rRNA". It matches the Rfam family "Bacterial small subunit ribosomal RNA", at positions 335 to 919 of the family's 1533-position model. The record is from RNAcentral.